Molecule: long non-coding RNA, 3832 nt
Filed under: Olea europaea subsp. europaea
Lineage: Eukaryota; Viridiplantae; Streptophyta; Magnoliopsida; Lamiales; Oleaceae
Source: RNAcentral
UGUUGAAAAGAUCUGUAAAAAAAAAAAAGAAAGACCAGCAAACUCAGCAGCAAGCAAAAAUUGCAGAAAAUCAGUAUCAACAACAGCAGGAGGAACAUUUGUUCACUACUGUCAACUACAAAAUUUGUAGUGAUGAUGGAACUUGGUUGCUGGAUAGUGGAUGCACUCAUCAUAUGACUUCAAACUCCAGCAUCUUUAUUGAAUUGAAUGAAUCAUACAGAUCAAGAUUCAAGGUUGGCAAUGGAGAACAUGUAGAGGUCAAAGGAAUUGGUAUUAUUGCUGUGGAGACUCCAACAGGUACUAAACACCUAUAUGAUGUACUUUAUGUACCAGACAUAGAUCAAAAUCUAUUUAGUGUAGGCCAAUUGCUAGAGAAAAAUUACACUUUAAUAUUUAAGAAUAAAGUUUGCACUUUACUAGAUGCAAAUGAUCAUGAAUUGAUGUCUAUUAUGAUAAAGAAUAGAAGCUUUCCUUUAGAAUGGAAAAACAUCACUACUCGUUGAGUCUUCCCUUGUGGCACAAAAGAUUUGGCCAUGCAAACUUCAUCUCACUUAAGAACUUGCAUAAACUUGAUCUAGUAAAUAACACGCCUGAUAUAAAUGAUGAUGCUUGUGUAUGUGAUGUUUGUCAAAUUGGGAAGCAAACAAGAUCGCCAUUUCCCAAAAAUCAGUCAAGAAGAGCUUCAUGUAAGCUUGAACUUGUUCAUUCAGAUGUGUGUGGUUUAAUGAGGAUACCUACUUUAAAUGGUAGUAGAUAUUUUGUUCUUUUUAUUGAUGACUUGACAAGAAUGCGCUGGGUUUAUUAUUUAAAGUUGAAAUCUGAAGUUACAUCUAUGUUUCAAAAAUUUAGAAAUUUUGUGGAGAAUGAAAGUGGUUGUAGGAUUAAAGCCGUUAGAACCGACAAUGGAACUGAAUACAGCUAUGCUAAGUUUGACAAAUUCUGCAAUGCCAUGGGACUCAAGCACUAGUUGAUUGUUCCAUAUUCUUCUCAACAAAAUGGUGUGUGUGAGAAGAAGAAUAGGACAAUGAUGGAGAUGGCUAGUGUUUGAUGUUUGAAAAAAAAAAUUCCAAAAGAAUUCUGGGCUGAAGCUGUUAAUACAACAAUAUAUCUUCUCAAUAGAUUGCCUACAAAAGCCUUAGAAAAGAAAAUUCCAUUUGAAGCUUGGUAUGGAGUCAAGACUGAUGUUGUACACUUAAAAGUAUUUGGUAGCAUUGUUUUACUCAUAUCCUUGAUGCAAAAAGGGAUAAGUUGAGCCAGAAGGCUGAGAUUGGCAUUUUGGUUAGGUUUGUGACAAUGCCAAAGGGUACAGAGUCUACAAUCCUCAAACCAAGAAGAUGAAGCUAGUAGGGAUAUCAAAGUUGAUGAAGAAUCUUCAUGGAAUUGGGAAUCAAGUUCAAUAGUUAAGAACCAAAUUCAAGGAGUAAUACCCUAAGAAAAAGAUGCCUUAAUCAGUGAGGAUGAAGCAGAAUCUAAUAGUGGUUUAGAUUCAGAAAAUGAAGUGAUUAGAACAAGAUCACUUGCAGAUGUGUAUGCUAGCUGCAAUUCAACCAUGUUGGAACCUUCUAAUUUUUUUGAAGCGGCAAGUUCACAAGGUUGGAUGGUAGCAAUGAAGGAGGAGCUGGCCAUGAUUGAGAAAAAUGAUACUUGGGUGCUAGUUGACAGACCAAUAAAUAAAAAUGUAAUUGAAGUUAAAUGGGUAUACAAAACUAAGCUAAAUCCAGAUGGUUCAAUUAAUAAACUCAAGGCCAGACUAGUUGUAAAAGGCUAUUCUCAGCAGUAUGGUAUUGAUUUCUCGGAUACCUUUGCUCCGGUAGCAAGGUAUGAAACAAUAAGGCUAUUGAUUGCUUUAGCUGCUCAAAAAGAUUGAAAAAUCCAUCAAUUGGAUGUUAAGUCAGCUUUUUUAAAUGGAUAUUUGCAUGAAGAAAUUUUUAUUGAGCAACCAGAAGGCUUUCUUGUUGCAGGAAAUGAAGACAAGGUGUACUUGCUUAAGAAAGCUUUGUAUGGAUUAAAGCAGGCUCCGAGGGCCUGGUAUAGCAAGAUUGAUGACCAUCUUGGUAGCCUUGGUUUCACUAGAUGCUUGAAUGAGCAAACCCUUUAUGUAAAGCAAGUGCAAGAAGAAAUGGUUAUUAUUCCACUAUAUGUUGAUGAUCUUCUAGUGACUGGCAGGAACUUUGCUUUAAUUGAAAUGGUGAAAUCAGAAUUGAAGAAAAGUUUGAUAUGAUAUAUUUAGGGAAAAGGCAAUACUUUCUUGACAUAGAAAUACAUCAAACACAACAAGGAAUCUUUGUUUGCCAAAGAUAGUAUGCUAAGGAAGUUUUAAGAAAGUUCAAUAUGGAAAAUUGUAAACCAGUAAACACUCCCCUAAUUCAGAAUGCAAAAAUGAUGAAGGAAAAUGGAGCUAAAAACAUAGAUGCUAGAGUUUAUAGAAGUUUAGUGGGGUGCUUGUUGUAUUUAACAGCAACAAGACCAAAUAUUACAUUUGUUAUUUGUUAAAAAUAUGUUGUCAAGAUUCAGACAAGAGCCAAGCGAAAUACACUUUCAAGCAGCAAAAAGGGUUUUGAGAUACAUUAAAGGGACUGAAGAGCUGGGAAUUUGAUUUAGAAAGUCUGAAAUUUUGAAGUUGAUUGGUUUUACAAAUAGUGAUUGGGCUGGAUCCUCUGAAGACAUGAAAAGUACCUCUAGUUAUGUGUUUUAUGUUGGUUCAAGUGUUAUUUGUUGGAAUUCAAUGAAGUAGAAAACUGUAGCAUAGUCCACAGCAGAAGCUGAAUACAUUGCAGCCUCAGAAGUUACAAAUCAAGCACUUUGGUUGAGGAAAGUGUUAGAGGAUCUCAAACACAAGCAAGAAGAAGCAACAAUCAUCUAUUGUGACAACCAAUCUGCAGUAGCUAUGGUGAAGAAUCCUGUGUUUCAUGGAAGAACCAAGCAUAUCAAGAUCAAGUAUCACUCGAUCAGAGAAGCAUAAGAAGAAAAGGAAGUGGAACUUGUAAGCUGCAAAUCAGAGGAUCAAAAUGUAGAUAUUCUAACCAAAUCCUUACCUAAAGCAAGAUUUGAAACACUUAGAAACAAUGUUGGUGUUUCUAGCAAAAAUGCCAAGGAGAAGUGAUGAAGUCAAAUUGACACUUUUACUGUAAAAAAAAUUUUUUUGUACUUUUUAUCAACUUGAAAUUAGCUGAAUUUAAGGAUAAAAGCUGGUAGUUUUUACCAAAAUAUGGUCUUACAUGUUUUAAGGAAAGCUGUCAAAAAUAAGUUAGUAUGGAUUAGGUAAAGUGCUGUUGACUAUUUUUGCUAGAAACUUCUUGUGAUCUUUAUAUAUUUGAGAUGUAAUAUAUCAGUUCGUUUUGGGAAGUGAACUUUCUGAAAAAUAUAUCAACUUCCAUCCUCUUUGUUCAAAAAUCUUUCACAAAGAAGCUCAAGGCUUUGUCUUGCAUCCAAUCUAUUGUCUCUGAUGCAAUUUUCACCAAGAUUGUGAAACUGCCAAGGAAGCCUGGGAUAGACUGCAAGAAGAAUUUAGAGGAAAUGCAAGAACAAGGCAAAUGCAAGUCUUAAACUUGAGAAGGAAGUAUGAGGGCUUGAAGAUGAAAGAUUCAGAAUCUAUCAAAGAGUAUUCUGAUAGGAUGAUGAAGGUGAUGAACCAAGUAUGUAGCGAUCGAGGAAAAAAAUGUUUUAUUUUGUUCCAAAAUAAAAUUAUAGAACUCAAAUAUAAUUUGGGUUAUAUUAUUACGUUGCUACGACACUUCCUUAAGAGUUCAAAUUAAAGUUUUGGUCAUGAUAGUAAAGCCUCGUGUACGUGUUUUUAAAAAUUUUGUAAGGUAUCGAAAUCUCUUUAGACGAC